This 765-nucleotide ribosomal RNA is filed under the name uncultured bacterium. RNAcentral describes it as "bacterial SSU rRNA". It matches the Rfam family "Bacterial small subunit ribosomal RNA", at positions 147 to 925 of the family's 1533-position model. The record is from RNAcentral.
CCCUGGGAAACCAGGAUUAAUACCGGAUGUGGUCACAACGGGACAUCCCGAUGUGAAAAAAGGCGCAAGCCGCUCGAUGACGGGCUCGCGGCCUAUUAGCUUGUUGGUGGGGUAACGGCCUACCAAGGCGAUGAUGGGUAGCUGGUCUGAGAGGACGAUCAGCCACACUGGGACUGAGACACGGCCCAGACUCCUACGGGAGGCAGCAGUUAGGAAUUUUCCGCAAUGGGCGCAAGCCUGACGGAGCAACGCCGCGUGUGUGAUGAAGGCCUUCGGGUUGUAAAGCACUGUCGGAGGGGAAGAACAAAUGACGGUACCCUCCAAGAAAGCCCCGGCUAACUACGUGCCAGCAGCCGCGGUAAUACGUAGGGGGCGAGCGUUAUCCGGAUUUACUGGGCGUAAAGCGCGUUAAGGCGGUUGGCAAAGUUGGGGGUGAAAUUUCAGGGCUCAACCCUGAAACUGCCUCCAAUACUGGUCGACUUGAGUGUGAGAGAGGAAGGUGGAAUUCCCGGUGUAGUAGUGAAAUGCGUAGAUAUCGGGAGGAACACCAGUGGCGAAGGCGGCCUUCUGGCUCACAACUGACGCUGUAGCGCGAAAGCGUGGGGAGCGAACGGGAUUAGAUACCCCGGUAGUCCACGCUGUAAACGAUGUGCACUAGGUGUUGGGCGUAUUGACGCGCUCAGUGCCGCAGCUAACGCAUUAAGUGCACCGCCUGGGGAGUACGGCCGCAAGGUUAAAACUCAAAGGAAUUGACGGAAUCGAAUU